Molecule: ribosomal RNA, 381 nt
Filed under: uncultured eukaryote
Lineage: Eukaryota
Description: partial 18S ribosomal RNA
Rfam family: Eukaryotic small subunit ribosomal RNA
Source: RNAcentral
CAAUAGCGUAUAUUAAAGCUGUUGCGGUUAAAAAGCUCGUAGUUGGAUUUCUGUCAAGGACAACUGGUCCGCCCUUCGGGUGAGCACAUAGUUUGGUCUUGGCAUCUUGUUGGAAACUGUUGCUGCACUUGGUUGUGUGGUGCAGCGUCCAGCACUUUCACUUUGAGGAAAUUGGAGUGUUUCAAGCAGGCACAUGCCUUUGGACACAGUAGCAUGGAAUAAUUAGAUUGGGCUUUUGCUCCAACUUGUCGGUUUCUGGAGCUGAGGUGAGAAUUAAUGGGGAUUGUUGGGGGCAUCCGAAUUUAGCCGUCAGAGGUGAAAUUCUUGGAUCUGCUAAAGACGGACAACUGCGAAAGCGUUUGCCCAGGAUGGUUUCAUUGA